This 468-nucleotide ribosomal RNA is filed under the name uncultured bacterium. RNAcentral's name for it is "partial 16S ribosomal RNA". It matches the Rfam family "Bacterial small subunit ribosomal RNA", at positions 28 to 507 of the family's 1533-position model. The record is from RNAcentral.
GACGAACGCUGGCGGCGUGCUUAACACAUGCAAGUCGAACGGAAAGGCCCUGCUUUUGUGGGGUGCUCGAGUGGCGAACGGGUGAGUAACACGUGAGUAACCUGCCCUUGACUUUGGGAUAACUUCAGGAAACUGGGGCUAAUACCGGAUAGGAGCUCCUGCUGCAUGGUGGGGGUUGGAAAGUUUCGGCGGUUGGGGAUAGACUCGCGGCUUAUCAGCUUGUUGGUGGGGUAGUGGCUUACCAAGGCUUUGACGGGUAGCCGGCCUGAGAGGGUGACCGGCCACAUUGGGACUGAGAUACGGCCCAGACUCCUACGGGAGGCAGCAGUGGGGAGUAUUGCACAAUGGGCGGAAGCCUGAUGCAGCAACGCCGCGUGCGGGAUGACGGCCUUCGGGUUGUAAACCGCUUUCGCCUGUGACGAAGCGUGAGUGACGGUAAUGGGUAAAGAAGCACCGGCUAACUACGUG